GAUGAACGCUGGCGGCGUGGUUAAGGCAUGCAAGUCGAACGAAAUAUAUUUACUUUUUAUGUUUAGUGGCAUACGGGGUAGUAACACGUAGGAACUCACCCCAGCCCUUGACACAACCCUGCGAACGCGGGGCUAAUAUCCGUUCGUCUUCGAUCCUCCAACUGCGUCGGAGUAAAUCUAGCAAUAGGCUCUGUGAAAGUCCUGUGGCCUAUUAGCUUGUUGUUGAGGUAAUGGCUCACCAAGGCUAUGACGGCUAGUGGGCGUGAGAGCGCGACCCCCACAAAUGGAACUGCGACACGGUCCAUACACCUACGGGGGGAUGAGGUGAAGAAAAUGCGACAAGGGGCGAAAGCCUGAGCAGGAGACGCGGCGUGGGGGAAGAAGCUCUUCGGAGCGUAAACCGCUUUUAUAGGGGAAAAGCGCAAGUGAUAUUACCCUAUGAAGAAGGACUUGCUAACCACGUG
RNAcentral lists this ribosomal RNA (464 nucleotides) under uncultured bacterium. RNAcentral's name for it is "partial 16S ribosomal RNA". It matches the Rfam family "Bacterial small subunit ribosomal RNA", at positions 28 to 507 of the family's 1533-position model. The record is from RNAcentral.